CAGUAGCCGCGGUAAUACAGAGGGUGCAAGCGUUAAUCGGAAUUACUGGGCGUAAAGCGCGCGUAGGUGGUUUGUUAAGUUGGAUGUGAAAGCCCCGGGCUCAACCUGGGAACUGCAUCCAAAACUGGCAAGCUAGAGUACGGUAGAGGGUGGUGGAAUUUCCUGUGUAGCGGUGAAAUGCGUAGAUAUAGGAAGGAACACCAGUGGCGAAGGCGACCACCUGGACUGAUACUGACACUGAGGUGCGAAAGCGUGGGGAGCAAACAGGAUUAGAUACCCCUGUAGUCCCUGUCUAUUAUAC
This 301-nucleotide ribosomal RNA is filed under the name uncultured bacterium. Its description in RNAcentral is "partial 16S ribosomal RNA". It matches the Rfam family "Bacterial small subunit ribosomal RNA", at positions 509 to 807 of the family's 1533-position model. The record is from RNAcentral.